RNAcentral lists this ribosomal RNA (440 nucleotides) under uncultured bacterium. Its description in RNAcentral is "partial 16S ribosomal RNA". It matches the Rfam family "Bacterial small subunit ribosomal RNA", at positions 338 to 795 of the family's 1533-position model. The record is from RNAcentral.
CCUACGGGAGGCAGCAGUGGGGGAUAUUGCACAAUGGGGGAAACCCUGAUGCAGCGACGCCGCGUGGGUGAAGAAGGGUUUCGGAGCGUAAAGCCCUGUCAGCAGGGAAGAAAAUGACGGUACCUCACGAAGAAGCACCGGCUAACUACGUGCCAGCAGCCGCGGUAAUACGUAGGGGGCAAGCGUUAUCCGGAGUGACUGGGGGUAAAGGGUGCGCAGACGGCGCUGCAAGCCAGAUGUGAAAGCCCGGGGCUCAACCCCGGGACUGCAUUUGGAACUGUGUGGCUAGAGUGUAGGAGGGGCAGGCGGAAUUCCUGGUGUAGCGGUGAAAUGCGUAGAUAUCAGGAGGAACACCGGUGGCGAAGGCGGCCUGCUGGACGGUAACUGACGUUGAGGCCCGAAAGCGUGGGGAGCAAACAGGAUUAGAUACCCGUGUAGUC